UGGUGAGGCAGAAUAAGGUUAGGUGGGACAUUCCAACUAGAGAGAGAGAGAGGAAGGAGAAAGACAGAGCAGAGGAAACACUGCUAGCAAGAUGUAAAGUACUGCUACGGGACCAGGCAGGACACAGGAAAACUUCUACUACAUCACCUCACAAGAAUGUGGAGUCAAAUAUGAGCUGAGCUGAUCUAACUCCUGGAUUUGUCCUAUCAGCUUCCAGUGUCCACUUCUACUGAAAUACUACUACUGCUGCUGCUACUACACUACUCCUACCAUACCACCACUGCUGCCCCUGGGAUAGGGCGACCUCAUGCCCAGCUCACAGCUUUCCUGUAUCAGCUCCUUGACCUGGUGCUGCACGAAUCAUCACCUGGGUUCCAGUGGCCGAGUGUGAUGGUCUGGAUGAGAAAAACCUCCCUAGGCUCCGGUACUUGCUCUCCAGUUGACUGGAGGAAGCGUGCCGACUGCCCGGAGCAGUCUGGGAGAGUUCCCACGGAGCCCCACCCUACUUCCAGUGUCUGACUCAUGCCUAUGGUUCAAGUUCUGAUCCCUCAGCUUCCUGCUCUCGUUGCCACUGCUACUGGCAGCCAUACUGCUCUGUGUGUCAUGAUCAAUUCUUAACCCUCUGGA
Peromyscus eremicus (cactus mouse) is the source of this 627-nucleotide long non-coding RNA. RefSeq lists it as uncharacterized. The record is from RefSeq and is a predicted model, not a curated record. Lineage: Eukaryota; Metazoa; Chordata; Mammalia; Rodentia; Cricetidae. The transcript is spliced from 4 exons.